RNAcentral lists this ribosomal RNA (468 nucleotides) under uncultured bacterium. RNAcentral's name for it is "partial 16S ribosomal RNA". It matches the Rfam family "Bacterial small subunit ribosomal RNA", at positions 28 to 507 of the family's 1533-position model. The record is from RNAcentral.
GACGAACGCUGGCGGCGUGCUUAACACAUGCAAGUCGAACGGAAAGGCCCUGCUUUUGUAGGGUGCUCGAGUGGCGAACGGGUGAGUAACACGUGAGUAACCUGCCCUUGACUUUGGGAUAACUUCAGGAAACUGGGGCUAAUACCGGAUAGGAGCUCCUGCUGCAUGGUGGGGGUUGGAAAGUUUCGGCGGUUGGGGAUGGACUCGCGGCUUAUCAGCUUGGUGGUGGGGUUGGGGCUUACCAAGGCUUGGACGGGUAGCCGGCCUGAGAGGGUGACCGGCCACAUUGGGACUGAGAUACGGCCCAGACUCCUACGGGAGGCAGCAGUGGGGAAUAUUGCACAGUGGGCGGACGCCUGAUGCAGCAACGCCGCGUGCGGGAUGACGGCCUUCGGGUUGUAAACCGCUUUCGCCUGUGACGAAGCGUGAGUGACGGUAAUGGGUAAAGAAGCACCGGCUAACUACGUG